RNAcentral lists this ribosomal RNA (658 nucleotides) under uncultured Verrucomicrobiales bacterium. RNAcentral's name for it is "bacterial SSU rRNA". It matches the Rfam family "Bacterial small subunit ribosomal RNA", at positions 9 to 627 of the family's 1533-position model. The record is from RNAcentral. Lineage: Bacteria; Pseudomonadati; Verrucomicrobiota; Verrucomicrobiia; Verrucomicrobiales.
AGAUUUGAUCCUUGGCUUCAGANCGAACGUUUGCCGCCUUGNAUUUAGGCAUCCAAAUUCGACGGAAUUCUAAUUUUUCAAUUCUUCGAAGAGAAUUUUAGAUGAGACGGCGAACGGGUGAGUAAUAAAAUGGGUAAUUGCCUCUUUGUUCGGAAUAGCCCGAGGAAACUCGGAUUAAUGCCGGAUGUGUUCAGGUGCUUCAUGGCACCUUAUAUAAAGGCGGGGAUUCUUCGGAACCUGUCGCAAAGAGAUAAGCCCAUUUCCUAUCAGCUUGUUGGUGAGGUAACGGCUCACCAAGGCUUACGGGUACCGGGUCUGAGAGGAUGAUCCGGCACACUGGGAUUCAGACACUGCCCAGACUCCUACGGGAGGCUGCAGUCGAGAAUCAUUGUCAAUGCACGAAAGUGUGAACAUGCGACGCCGCGUGGAGGAAGACGGCCUUUGGGUUGUAAACUCCUGUCAGCAGGGAGUAAGGAUGGAGAACCUAAUACGUUGUUCAUUUGAUAGUACCUGCAGAGGAAGUCACGGCUAACUCUGUGCCAGCAGCCGCGGUAAUACAGAGGUGGCGAACGUUGUUCGGAUUUACUGGGCGUAAAGGUCCGCAGGCGGUUUGGUGUGUCAGAUGUGAAAGCUUACAGCUCAACUGUGGAAUUGCAUU